Molecule: non-coding RNA, 354 nt
Organism: Vicia faba (fava bean)
Lineage: Eukaryota; Viridiplantae; Streptophyta; Magnoliopsida; Fabales; Fabaceae
Source: the annotation of a GenBank genome assembly
AUGCACGAAGACUCCAAACCUAUCGGAGUCGCUCCGAUGACGCUUCCCUGGCGGUGGAAAAAAAUAAGCAGAAACCUCGCUCCUUGCUGCUGUGCACUCCAAUUUCGAAGCAGAACGAGAAUGAUAAUGACCGAUAUGAUGCAUUUAGAAUGGUUGAAGCGAGGUGAUGAAGAAGAUUCAGAGUUGAUGGAGAAUCAUUGCAGAGAAAGAAUCGAGAGUCCCUGUGGGAGAAACUCCAAACAAGUUGAAGAGAAAUUUUUGGGCUGGCAUAAUUCUAUUGAUAGCAUGUUCAUUGGCAUUCAAACUGAUUGGGAUAAGGCUUCUUUGGGAUGGAGCAGGUUGGAACAAUGUUGA